UGAGGGAAUAUUUGGGGUCAAUGGGCGCGAGCCUGAACCAGCCAAGUAGCGUGAGGGAUGACUGCCCUAUGGGUUGUAAACCUCUUUUGAUUGGGAACAAAGAGCGCCACGUGUGGUGCGUUGCGUGUACCUUUCGAAUAAGCAUCGGCUAAUUCCGUGCCAGCAGCCGCGGUAAUACGGAAGAUGCGAGCGUUAUCCGGAUUUAUUGGGUUUAAAGGGAGCGUAGGCGGGAGAUUAAGCGUGUUGUGAAAUGUAGUGGCUCAACCUCUGCACUGCAGCGCGAACUGGUCUUCUUGAGUACGCACAACGUGGGCGGAAUUCGUGGUGUAGCGGUGAAAUGCUUAGAUAUCACGAAGA
RNAcentral lists this ribosomal RNA (357 nucleotides) under uncultured Prevotella sp. RNAcentral's name for it is "bacterial SSU rRNA". It matches the Rfam family "Bacterial small subunit ribosomal RNA", at positions 354 to 705 of the family's 1533-position model. The record is from RNAcentral. Lineage: Bacteria; Pseudomonadati; Bacteroidota; Bacteroidia; Bacteroidales; Prevotellaceae.